GGGCCCGCACAAGCGGUGGAUGAUGUGGUUUAAUUCGACGCAACGCGAAAAACCUUACCUACCCUUGACAUGUCAGGAACGCUGCAGAGAUGCAGCGGUGCCCGAAAGGGAACCUGAACACAGGUGCUGCAUGGCUGUCGUCAGCUCGUGUCGUGAGAUGUUGGGUUAAGUCCCGCAACGAGCGCAACCCUUGCCAUUAGUUGCCACAUUCAGUUGAGCACUCUAAUGGGACUGCCGGUGACAAACCGGAGGAAGGUGGGGAUGACGUCAAGUCCUCAUGGCCCUUAUGGGUAGGGCCACACACGUCAUACAAUGGCGCGUACAGAGGGUCGCCAACCCGCGAGGGGGAGCCAAUCCCAGAAAGCGCGUCGUAGUCCGGAUUGAAGUCUGCAACUCGACUUCAUGAAGUCGGAAUCGCUAGUAAUCGCGGAUCAGCAUGUCGCGGUGAAUACGUUCCCGGGCCUU
Molecule: ribosomal RNA, 465 nt
Filed under: uncultured bacterium
Lineage: Bacteria
Description: bacterial SSU rRNA
Rfam family: Bacterial small subunit ribosomal RNA
Source: RNAcentral